UCACUCAGGUGUCUCUUCAAAACGUUUAAGACUUUCGCCUUUCGACUUGUGCUAAAGAUUUCCAUGGAGGGGAAUUCUGUAAAGAGUAAUUAAUCAUUUUUGGGAGUCAUGCGUUAAGUAAGACU
This is a small nuclear RNA of Galleria mellonella (greater wax moth), 125 nucleotides long. RefSeq annotates it as U5 spliceosomal RNA. Lineage: Eukaryota; Metazoa; Arthropoda; Insecta; Lepidoptera; Pyralidae. The record is from RefSeq and is a predicted model, not a curated record. The transcript has a single exon.